GCCGAUGUAGCUCAAUAGGCAGAGCAGUGCUUUUGUAAAGCAAAGGUUGUCGGUUCGAUUCCGACCAUCGGCU
RNAcentral lists this transfer RNA (73 nucleotides) under Patescibacteria group bacterium. Its description in RNAcentral is "tRNA-Thr". It matches the Rfam family "tRNA". Rfam says of the family: Transfer RNA (tRNA) molecules are approximately 80 nucleotides in length. Their secondary structure includes four short double-helical elements and three loops (D, anti-codon, and T loops). Further hydrogen bonds mediate the characteristic L-shaped molecular structure. tRNAs have two regions of fundamental functional importance: the anti-codon, which is responsible for specific mRNA codon recognition, and the 3' end, to which the tRNAs corresponding amino acid is attached (by aminoacyl-tRNA synthetases). tRNAs cope with the degeneracy of the genetic code in two manners: having more than one tRNA (with a specific anti-codon) for a particular amino acid; and 'wobble' base-pairing, i.e. permitting non-standard base-pairing at the 3rd anti-codon position. The record is from RNAcentral.